This 3288-nucleotide long non-coding RNA is filed under the name Sus scrofa (pig). RNAcentral describes it as "lncRNA (ENSSSCG00000054958.1)". The record is from RNAcentral. Lineage: Eukaryota; Metazoa; Chordata; Mammalia; Artiodactyla; Suidae.
AAUGCAUUUGGCAUUAUAUUUUUUUAUUUUUUCCAUGACACUUAACUUUAGUCUCUCUGGGGGAAUGUGUACCAUUUCUGAUGGAACAUCUCUUAGGAAUAGAGUCCCUUCCCACCACCAGGUGAAAAUGAAAUAAAAAAUGAAACAAAACUUUUCACAUAUAUUCCAGGCAGCCUUAUCCUGUGAGAGCUCCAUUGUUCUCCUUACAUUUUUUUGAAAGGAUUUCCAGAUCAAAGGAAUCUGGGGAAUGUUUCAUAUGUUUUUUUCUCAUGAAUAUUUACAGUGAAUACUAGCACAUUAAAGAGUCUGAGAAGUCUUUCAGUAAAAAUUCCUGCCUAGCUUUAACUCAGAGUUUCCCAAACUCUUUGCCAGUAACCUUUUUUUUCACGACACCUACAAUUUCAAGGAAUGAGUGUUAUGUGGACACACUUUGGGAAGGGUAGAGUGCAGAUAAGGGGCCCACUGAGAAAGAGCUCAGUCAAGAGAGUCUCACUGGGAUACCCACCCCUCAGUGAGUUCAGUGGUGGCUUCUACAAGAUGUGUCCACCUGAACCUCAGAAUGUGACCUUAUUUGGCAUAAAUGUUUUUGCAGAUGAAUUAAGUUUAGGAUUUCUAGAUUAAAUCAUUCUGGCUUAGUGUGAACCCUAAAUCCAGUGAUGAACAUCCUUAUAAGAGAUGGGAAGAACACACAGAGAAACAGGGGAGAAGGCCAUGUGAAGACAGAGGCAGAGAUUGGAGCUUUGCUGCCACAGCCAAGGAAGCUGGAGCCACUAGAAUCUGGAAGAGGCAAGCAAGGCUCUUCCCCUAGAGUCCUGAGGAGGGAUGUGGCCCUGUUGACAUCUUAAUUUCAGAAUUCUGGCCUCCACUAUGGUCAGAGAAUAAAUUACUGUCGUUUUAACUCACCCGGUUUGUGGUAAUUUGUUUUGGCAGUCCUAGAAAACCACUGCACCACCCUUACCUUCCUUUUUCACCACCGACUAGCUGCUCAUCAUUUUUUUCAUCUUCAAAGUGAGGAAAGAAUACCUAUUCUGCAUAUCUCCAGGGUAGUUUUUUAUUCUGAAAGGAAAAAUGGACACAAUGGUGCCGUUUAAAGAAGUUCAUGGACAUGAGCUUGAUACCCUCCAGCUGGGUUCAGGCCCAGCAGCUAGGGUUGGGACCUCAAGGAGAGACAGGACAUUGAAUCAGAAAACAUUGCUGGUCAAACCUCUCAUAUGUCCAUAUUCUUUACUCAUUUACUGUUCCAGCCAUCAGAAUACAGAAGGAUACAGGAUACAGAAAUGAACAAAACAUACCCAAUCCCCACCCUGUGGAAAUCAUAUAGUCAGUAAAGGAGCUAGACUUUAAACACGUAAGUAACCCACUUAAUGUCAGAGCAUGAUGGAAGGUGUCUUAGGUUCUGAUGCAGCCCAUGGCCCUCACUCCUGGGUUGCCAUUAAUCUAGCACAUGGUUUUGGCCACAAAGAUGGCACCAGAUAAUGUGUUUGAUAAUAGCAAUGUAAUAGAGAAAUUAGCCCCCCCAUACACACUUUCCACCUAGAAAAGAUACUGAAAAUAAGUAAUUUAGUGGCUCUGGAGACAUUUAUCUUGGAUAACAAAUUAGCAGGUAUCAAAGGCCAAGGUGACCUAGUAAUUCUAUUCCUACAAAUAUACUAAAGAGAUACGAAGACACAGGUCCAUGAAGAAUUGAAAAGAGGUAUCAAACAAAUGCUCAUACACAAAUGCUUAUAACAGCAUUAUUCACAGUAGCUAAAUGGGGAAACAAGCAUCUAUUGAUAGAUGAAUGGAUAAAUAAAAAGUGGUAUAGCCACACAAUGCAUCAAAAAAAAAAAAAAAAAGCCAAACACAAAAGUCUGUAUAUUAUAUUAUUCAAUUUAUUUGAGAGGUCCGAAAUAAACCCACAGAGACAUAAAGCAGAUGGUGGCUGCCAGGCUCUGGGAAGAAGGGAAAAAUGGGGAGUGGCUACUUAAUUGGAACAGGGUCUCCUUUUAGGGUGAAGAAAAUGUUUUGGAGUUAGAUAGAGGUGAUGGUUGCACAAUAUCAUGAAUGUACUAAAUGCCAUCAAAUUGUACAGUUUAAAAUGGUUUAUGUUAUGUGAAUUUUACACCACACCCUGCCCCACCACACACACAUGCACACACACAAAGUCAGCGUGUCCCUUUUAUGUCUUGUUUGAGGAAGGAGGGACAGGGACAUUCCAGGGAUCUCACUACAAGUACGGGGUCCACUAAGUUCAAAGCCAGAGCCCUGCCAAUAGGGAAAUGGGAGACAUGUUCUUACUUAGCAGACACUUGCUAUGGGAUUUGGCAGGCUCACAGCUUGUGGUGGGAGGGCUGGGGCAAGGCAAAUCAUGACACAAAACAGAGACAGAGAGCCUGGCCAGAAAUUGAGGAAUAUCCUUGGAGGGUUGGGAUAGAUCCCUUGGGAAAGGCCAAGUCUUGAAGUACCUUUCCUUUUAUGAUGGGAGCUUCAUGUUAGCCACCCCCACCCUGGGGCUUUGUUCUUCUUGCAGUGUGAUUCUUUCCUGAAGUUUUCCCUCCAGCUUCAGUAUAGAAAUUCACAUGAACAUUGCAACACAGCAUGUUAGGGAGAGGGUGUGCAUUAGCUUCCUAUUGCUGCUGUAACAAAUUGCCACAAACUUACUGACAAAUAAUAUACAUUUAUUAUUUGUAGGAUAGAGAUCUAAUAUGGGUCUUUCUGGGGUACAAUAAAGGGUUUGGAAGGGCUGUGUUCCUUCUAAAGGCUCUAGGGGAGAAUCCAUUCCAGCUUCUAGAAGCUGCCUGCAUUUUUUGGCUCCUGGUCUUCUGUCUUCAAAGCUAGAAACUGAAUCUCUCCAACAUCUCUUCCAUCACCAUAUCUCCUUCUCUGACUCUCUGUCUUCCUCUCCCAUAUUUUAAGGGCCCUUCCGAUUACAUUGGGCCCACUUUGGUAAUCCACGAUGAUCUCCCCAUCUGUCAGUCCUUAACUUAAUCACAGCAGUAAAAUUCUUUUUGCCCUGUAAAGUAACAUAUUCACAGGUUCCAGGUAUUAGGACAUCUUUGGGCCAUUAUUUUGCCUACCACAGAGUAGGUGGGGAAGGAGACAUCUGUGCAGAAUCACUGAUGACCAUCAGCAGACAGACCCACAACCUGGAGGGCACAAGAGAAGAACAAAAUGAGAGAGUCCAAACUCUAUGCUCCCUAAAUUAGCAAAAGCUACCCUAUUAUAAUAGAAAAAGGAAGAACCCAACAAUAUGUGAUUGUAAGAAUAAAAACCAGCGUAUAUGAUGCAUUUACUAGGUGCUAGCCUCUC